UGCCCGGUAGUGUAAUGGUAGCACAUCAGAAUUUGGGUCUGAGUGUCAUGGUUCGAAUCCAUGCCGGGCAG
RNAcentral lists this transfer RNA (71 nucleotides) under Candidatus Omnitrophota bacterium. Its description in RNAcentral is "Candidatus Omnitrophica bacterium (hot springs metagenome) tRNA-Gln". It matches the Rfam family "tRNA". Rfam says of the family: Transfer RNA (tRNA) molecules are approximately 80 nucleotides in length. Their secondary structure includes four short double-helical elements and three loops (D, anti-codon, and T loops). Lineage: Bacteria; Pseudomonadati; Candidatus Omnitrophota. The record is from RNAcentral.